Molecule: non-coding RNA, 1117 nt
Organism: Paramisgurnus dabryanus
Lineage: Eukaryota; Metazoa; Chordata; Actinopteri; Cypriniformes; Cobitidae
Source: RefSeq, a predicted model, not a curated record
GGUUGCUUGCGUUAAACGUAUAAACUGUUAAAUUAGAUGGCGACUCUGCAUUAAACGUAUUUAUUUAAUUAAUCGGCGAUCGUAUUUCACCAGAGGACUAAGAUAAAACAACUCGAUUUAAAAUGUGAGCAGUUUUAGUGGAUCUGACGUUGAGGGAAAAAGUAUUUCGCUUUUUGUUUGGAGAUGAACGAGACAACACGAGGCACAGCGACAUAAAUAUGACCAACCAGAUCCCAAGUAGACAGAAACAAAUGAAGAUAUAGCGCAUAGAAAGACUUAUUCUUGGUGAUCAACUGCUAUUGACAUUUUUUAAUCGGGUCAAAUGUGGAGUGAAGAAAAACGUUUGCAACACAUCCAUUCCAGAGUGCUCUGACAGAUAAAACUGACACGCUUGAUGAGGACACAGUCAAAGCUUUAAAAGCCCGUGUGAUAAAGCAGUCUUCAGUCUACUACGGUGUCUGAAUUGCAUGAAGAAGUGACCCUCCACUUAAACAUGUGACAUCUAAACUGUUUUGUGUUUUAGUUCAGCUUUUUAUAGGUUUAUCUUAAGUUGGUUAAAGGCGGAGUGCACUAUUUUUGAAAGCCAAUGUUAACAUUUGAAAUUACCUAAACAAACAUGCCUCUACCCCAAUAGAAUCUGGACCUUCUUUUGAUAGAGUCACCACACACAUACGCAACCCCGGCAAGGAUGUCAGUUAGUAGACACGCCCCUUACUGCUGGUUGGCUACAAGUGUGUUUUGGUAGUCGGCCCAAUUUCCUUUUCCAAAGCGUUUUUCAAACAUUGUGCACUCCGUCUUUAAAUUGCACUUAAACAUUUUUUUUUUUUCAUUAACUUUUUAUGCAGAGAAUUACAUUAUGAUUAUUAUAUAAUCAUUGCUUAUGAAUAUUUAGUGAUUGCAUAUUCAUAGUGUACUUUUCAUUAAUACAUUUAAUGUUAAUGUUGUACAAUUUGAUAGAAGUAGCUCUGUAAUUGCAUUUCUCUGAUAUUUGUUUUAUAUUGUUUCUCUUUGGUCAAGAGAUUAUGUAUGUCUCUGUGCUUGCUUGAUUAAUUUACUUUAGAUAUUUUUGUAAUGUACACAACACAAUAUGAAGUAUAUUAAAUUGUUCUGUAUUCAA